Molecule: ribosomal RNA, 604 nt
Filed under: Alcanivorax borkumensis
Lineage: Bacteria; Pseudomonadati; Pseudomonadota; Gammaproteobacteria; Oceanospirillales; Alcanivoracaceae
Description: bacterial SSU rRNA
Rfam family: Bacterial small subunit ribosomal RNA
Source: RNAcentral
AAGUCGAGCGGAAACGAUCCUAGCUUGCUAGGAGGCGUCGAGCGGCGGACGGGUGAGUAACACGUGAGAAUCUGCCCAUUAGAGGGGGAUAACCUGGGGAAACCCAGGCUAAUACCGCAUAAUCCCUACGGGGGAAAGCAGGGGAUCUUCGGACCUUGUGCUGAUGGAUGAGCUCGCGUCGGAUUAGCUUGUUGGUGAGGUAAUGGCUCACCAAGGCGACGAUCCGUAGCUGGUCUUAGAGGAUGAUCAGCCACACCGGGACUGAGACACGGCCCGGACUCCUACGGGAGGCAGCAGUGGGGAAUCUUGGACAAUGGGGGCAACCCUGAUCCAGCCAUGCCGCGUGUGUGAAGAAGGCCUUCGGGUUGUAAAGCACUUUCAGUAGGGAGGAAGGCUUAUCCUUAAUACGGAUGAGUACUUGACGUUACCUACAGAAGAAGCACCGGCUAAUUUCGUGCCAGCAGCCGCGGUAAUACGAAAGGUGCGAGCGUUAAUCGGAAUUACUGGGCGUAAAGCGCGCGUAGGCGGUUUGCUAAGUCAGAUGUGAAAGCCCCGGGCUCAACCUGGGAACUGCAUUUGAAACUGGCAGGCUAGAAUGCAGUAG